GUGAAUCAUCGAAUUUUUGAACGCAAAUUGCACUUUCUGGUAUUCCGGAAAGUAUGCCUGUUUGAGGGUCAGUUAAAUAAAAAUCGGUGUUGUUGCUGCUUUUCGUGGUGACGCGUCGGAAUUGGGUCGUCUUACCUUCGGUUAAGUGACUUAAAAUUUUUGAUUGAUUUUCGAACGUAUUUAAUUUGUUUAGGAAGGUUUAAGAUU
This 207-nucleotide unclassified non-coding RNA is filed under the name Glomeromycotina sp. Its description in RNAcentral is "partial contains 5.8S ribosomal RNA and internal transcribed spacer 2". The stretch from base 1 to 71 matches the Rfam family "5.8S ribosomal RNA", at positions 84 to 154 of the family's 154-position model. Lineage: Eukaryota; Fungi; Glomeromycota. The record is from RNAcentral.